This is a long non-coding RNA of Mauremys reevesii (Reeves's turtle), 468 nucleotides long. RefSeq lists it as uncharacterized. The transcript has 3 exons. The record is from RefSeq and is a predicted model, not a curated record. Lineage: Eukaryota; Metazoa; Chordata; Testudines; Geoemydidae.
GUGGUUGUGCAUGAGGCAGAAAGCCAGAAGAAAGCAAAAGGAGCAGUGGUGAUAUUAGCCAUGGGUGGAAGCUUCUUUUGGGUACUUGCUGGAAAUACAGAAAUGGAUUUCAGAAGCCAUGGAUCCUGGUGAAAUGGUAUCAGAUAGAAGCAAUGUAUCACAUCAGAUAAUGCAACACCUAAUACAAUCCAAAUCAUGAGUAUAAGGAAUGAGAACACAAAGAGACUUAGUUGUUCUGGCACCUAUGCACCAAUGGUGCUCAGGCCAUAACAGUGAACUGGCAGAUCUCCACUAGAAAAACAAACAAACACAAGCAAAACCUAAUGGCAACAAGUAGCCAGGAUGCAAUGAUGUGGCUGAAGUAUAAUAUACACAGAUAGGACUGGAAAAACCUGGGGGAAUUUAAAGGAAACGUUCUAAAGUGUUAUGGUCCUGGCUCCAGAUUUGUAUGACCCUUCAGCCGAUCAC